CACAGGUGCUGCAUGGCCGUCGUCAGCUCGUGCCGUGAGGUGUUGGGUUAAGUCCCGCAACGAGCGCAACCCCCGCCGUUAGUUGCCAGCGGUUCGGCCGGGCACUCUAACGGGACUGCCCGCGAAAAGCGGGAGGAAGGAGGGGGACGACGGUCUGGUCAGCAUGGCCCUUACGGCCUGGGCGACACACGUGCUACAAUGCCCACUACAAAGCGAGGCCACCCGGCAACGGGGAGCUAAUCGCAAAAAGGUGGGCCCAGUUCGGAUUGGGGUCUGCAACCCGACCCCAUGAAGCCGGAAUCGCUAGUAAUCGCGGAUCAGCCAUGCCGCGGUGAAUACGUUCCCGGGCCCUU
This 353-nucleotide ribosomal RNA is filed under the name uncultured Thermus sp. RNAcentral's name for it is "bacterial SSU rRNA". It matches the Rfam family "Bacterial small subunit ribosomal RNA", at positions 1033 to 1382 of the family's 1533-position model. The record is from RNAcentral. Lineage: Bacteria; Thermotogati; Deinococcota; Deinococci; Thermales; Thermaceae.